AUGACCUUGGGGACGUACCGGGCUCGGUCUGCAUACGAGUUGAAGCCUAGGAGGGGAAUCAACAAGUACACACCUGAAGACUUCACCCAAAGAGGCAAAAGGACGGUCGGCACCUCGCGGAUGGCGGCUUUGGAUGACUAUUUGGAUGACGAUGUCAAACCGGUGGCGGAGCCGGAGCCGGAGCGGGUUCCUCUUCCUAGGAAGGUGAAGAAGAUAAGCGUCAAGAGGGGGGAGGACCCAGCAAGCGUGGAAAGCACUAGUCAUCUUAGUUUUUUUAUAAUGUUGAACUUCGAGUGCGAUUUGUUAUGUCGUUGA
RNAcentral lists this ribosomal RNA (315 nucleotides) under Triticum aestivum (bread wheat). RNAcentral's name for it is "partial small subunit ribosomal RNA". The record is from RNAcentral. Lineage: Eukaryota; Viridiplantae; Streptophyta; Magnoliopsida; Poales; Poaceae.